RNAcentral lists this long non-coding RNA (1416 nucleotides) under Vulpes vulpes (red fox). RNAcentral's name for it is "lncRNA (ENSVVUG00000006303.1)". Lineage: Eukaryota; Metazoa; Chordata; Mammalia; Carnivora; Canidae. The record is from RNAcentral.
GAGCUAAUGUAUAAAUGUAUUUGGUUACACAGUACAAGUUUGACAAGGGUUAAGUGUUCAAUCCGAUUAUUAUUUUCAUGAUGAUAAAUAUUAAUGUUAUUAUAAACACUUUUAAGUAACAUUCAAUUAGAUAAAAUUCAAAGUGAUUUGAAACACAUAAAUUUCUUUGCCCCCAUUUCUCUUAAUCCUCCAGGGCUUUGCUAGGCUCUACCCUCAGGCAAAAAUAUCUUUUGCUUUGAAGUUCAUUUUAUUUCAUUAUACCUCCCUGGAUUUAUUAGUGUGGCCUAUUAAUGUUUAGGUUAUUUAUUUUCAUUUAUUAAGGCCUUUCUAUAAGAUAUUCUCUUUCUUCUUUAACUUCUUUCCAGAAUUCCUAAUGUCUGCAGAAUGGACAAAGGCUAACCCAUCCUCAAUCCUGGAUUCCUCUUUAAAACAGUGCAGCAAAAGAGAAGGGAGACAUUCAUUCCCUCCAUCUGAAACGACCAUGGAGAAAAUAGAGUCGAGGUGUAAUAGAGCUUAAAAUCAACUUUAUUAAAUUGAAUUUCUCCAGAAUUGAGAAGACAUCUCACUUUUUCUAUAGCCUUCAGGUGCUAAAAUGACAUGCCCCAGGGAAGUAUCUGAGCAAGUCAUAGCAAAAUGUUACCAUUUUGCCUCUGGUUGGAGCACUAGAAAUCCUGCCACUCAGUUCUACUCAAGCAGAGAGGAAACAACUCUGGACUCAAAAUCAAGAAACCACUCAUAGACACAGAGGGUAUUUUCCAGUAAGUAUAUUCCUAGUCUUAAAAAGUAUCAGAGGGCCAGCUAAAAUUCCUAUCACAUAUUUUACAAGAUCUACAUGCAUCCUGCAUAUCAACUUGGCUAUCUGAGUGUCACUUUAUGGGGUUGGCAGAACAAAUAUCUCACCAAAGAUCAUGUCUAAAUCACUGGAAUUUAUAAAUAUUGUAACUUGUGUGGAAAAGAGGGCAUGGCAAAUGUGAUUAAGGUUAUGGUGUGGAGAUUAUUCUGGAUUAUCUAUGUGACCACAACCUAAUCAUGAGUCCUUAAAAGCAGAGAAACUUUCCUGGUGAUCAGAGAGAAAUGUGACCGGAAGUUCAGAGAGAUGUAACAUAAGAACAAUGUGUCUCUCUACUUCUAGUUCUGUGAUGUGUGGGGGCUACAUCCAAAGACUAGAGAGAGUUUUCUAGGACUUGAGAAUGGCCUCUAGCUAAUAGCCAGCAGGAAAAUGGGGACCUCUGUCCUUCAACUGCAAGAAACUAAAUUCUGCCAACAGAAGAAUGAGUAGAGAAACAGAUUCUUCCUGCAGCUUGCAAGAAGGAACACAGUUGUGCUGUCACUUUUUUUAUUCUAGGGAGACCUAUACCAGACUUCUGACCUACAACAACCCUAAGAUAAUAAAUAAAAUUGUAUGGUUUUAACUCA